AACGAACGCUGGCGGCAUGCCUAACACAUGCAAGUCGAACGAGACCUUCGGGUCUAGUGGCGCACGGGGGCGUAACGCGUGGGAACCUGCCCUUAGGUUCGGAAUAACUCCCCGAAAGGGGUGCUAAUAACGGAUAAUGUCUUCGGACCAAAGAUUUAUCGCCUUUGGAUGGGCCCGCGUUGGAUUAGCUAGUUGGUAGGGUAAAAGCCUACCAAGGCGACGAUCCAUAGCUGGUCUGAGAGGAUGAUCAGCCACACUGGGACUGAGACACGGCCCAGAAUCCUACGGGAGGCAGCAGUGGGGAAUAUUGGACAAUGGGCGAAAGCCUGAUCCAGCAAUGCCGCGUAAGUGAUGAAGGCCUUAGGGUUGUAAAGCUCUUUUACCCGGGAUGAUAAUGACAGUACCGGGAGAAUAAGCUCCGGCUAACUCCGUG
RNAcentral lists this ribosomal RNA (433 nucleotides) under uncultured bacterium. RNAcentral describes it as "partial 16S ribosomal RNA". It matches the Rfam family "Bacterial small subunit ribosomal RNA", at positions 29 to 507 of the family's 1533-position model. The record is from RNAcentral.